Molecule: ribosomal RNA, 460 nt
Filed under: uncultured bacterium
Lineage: Bacteria
Description: partial 16S ribosomal RNA
Rfam family: Bacterial small subunit ribosomal RNA
Source: RNAcentral
CCUACGGGAGGCAGCAGUGAGGAAUAUUGGUCAAUGGACGAGAGUCUGAACCAGCCAAGUAGCGUGAAGGAUGACUGCCCUAUGGGUUGUAAACUUCUUUUAUAAAGGAAUAAAACGAGGCACGCGUGCCUUUUUGCAUGUACCUUAUGAAUAAGGAUCGGCUAACUCCGUGCCAGCAGCCGCGGUAAUACGGAGGAUUCGAGCGUUAUCCGGAUUUAUUGGGUUUAAAGGGAGCGUAGAUGGGUUGUUAAGUCAGUUGUGAAAGUUUGCGGCUCAACCGUAGAAUUGCAAUUGAUACUGGCGGUCUUGAGUACAGGUGAGGUAGGCGGAAUUCGUGGUGUAGCGGUGAAAUGCUUAGAUAUCACGAAGAACCCCGAUUGCGAAGGCAGCUUACUAAACUGUGACUGACGUUGAUGCUCGAAAGUGUGGGUAUCAAACAGGAUUAGAUACCCGAGUAGUC